Molecule: long non-coding RNA, 461 nt
Filed under: Equus asinus (donkey)
Lineage: Eukaryota; Metazoa; Chordata; Mammalia; Perissodactyla; Equidae
Description: lncRNA (ENSEASG00005038691.1)
Source: RNAcentral
AACCAACGUAUCAAUGAUCCCAGUUUCUUGGGGGGAGGCAAGUUUUCUCCACCUGCUUGCUUUAGAGUAGUAUUUCUCCGGGCUUGAUUUCACAAGUCAAUCACCUGGGAAUCUUGUUCUCCUACAGAUUCCAGUUUGGUUGGCCUGGGCUUGUGCUUCUGCAUUUGUGACAGGCUCCCAAGGAAAUGCAGAUGCCCCUGGUCCUCAGACGGCAAUUGAAUAGUUGGGAUUCAGACGUGGCCAUUUCUUGACUUUCACGCACUCGAUCCACCACGUUUCUUAAAAUAUUUACACUGUGGAAAUGACUAGAUCUCGUUUUGGAGGUCAGUAGGCCAAAAUCAGUCUCACUCGACUUAAAACAAGGUGAUGGCAGAGUUGUGUUCCUUCUGGACACUCUAGAGAAGAAUCCGUUCCUAGCCUUUUCCAGCUUCUACAAGCUCCUUGCAUUCCUCAGCUCGUGG